Molecule: non-coding RNA, 125 nt
Organism: Triticum aestivum (bread wheat)
Lineage: Eukaryota; Viridiplantae; Streptophyta; Magnoliopsida; Poales; Poaceae
Source: Rfam
GUAGUACUCCCUCCGUCCGAAAAUAGUCGUCCGAUAAAUGCAUAAAAAUGGAUGUAUCUAAAAUUAAAAUACAUCUAGAUACAUCCAUUUCUUCGACAAGUAUUUCAAGACAGAGGGAGUACGUC